GUUCUUUUCUUUUCUUUUCCUUUUUUGCUGCUUACCUCUUUGUAUAUAAAGCCUCUUCUAGCAAGAGAAAGUAAUCAAUUUUCUUUCCUACAUUUCGCGAUUCCUUUUCUGUUAUGGUAUCAGAGCUCUUCUGCUUCCAUAAUCGUUCUCUGUCUUCUCAGUAAUUUUUCUUCUCCUUCCUUUCUUUUUUCAAUGGCAAAUCAACCUGUUGUUGCCGUGAAUCAAGUCAAUGAUUACUUGCAGAAUCCAUCCAAUCCAUACUACCUUCAUUCGAAUGAGAAUCCGUCUCUUGUACUCGUGUCCACUCUUCUCAAUGAGAAGAACUAUCAUCAUUGGGCUCGUGCCAUGAAAAUGGCAUUAUUAUCCAAAAAUAAAUACAGAUUUGUUGAUGGAACUCUACCAGCACCGCCGAUUGCGGAUCCGAUGCGCGUUGCUUGGCAAAGAUGCAACACAACAGUUUCAUCCUGGAUUACAAGAUCCUUAUCUCCCUCCAUCGCACAGAGUAUCAUAUGGAUUGAUUCAGCAGCUGAGAUCUGGAAAGAUCUUCAAGAAAGGUUUUCACAGGGAGACAUUUUCAGAAUUUCAGAUCUAGGAAGAAAAAUAUGCAUUCAAACAAGGUGAUCGUACUGUCACUGAAUAUUUUACAGAACUCAAGAUACUAUAUGAUGAGUUAAUGAAUUUCAGACCUAUACCUGUUUGCACAUGCACUGAUCCUUGUGCUUGUGGUGCUGUGACAAAAUUUACUACAUAUCAGAAAAAUGACUAUGCAAUUCGCUUCCUUAAAGGACUGAAUGACAGAUUCACUCAUGUUAGAUCUCAAAUCAUGCUUAUAGAUCCUUUGCCUUCCAUAAAUAAAGUUUUCUCACUAGUUGUAUAGCAAGAGAGACAAUUGGAUCUUGGUGAAAAUGUGAAGGUAUUUGUUAGUGCAAAGGCAUCAAAUCUUGAAGGAAACUCUCAAAGAGCAAUUAGUUUUAAUCAGUCACAGAACAGAAAUGCUUUCUACAGAAAUCCUUCUAGCAAUGCAAAGGUGUGCACCUACUGUGGAAAGCAGAGGCAUACUGUAGAUACAUGCUACAAGAAACACGGAUUCCCUCCUGGUUUUAAGUUUAGAAACUCAUCUAUCAAUCAUAUUGCAAUGCAUGAUGCUGCUAAAACAAAUGAAAGUGUACAAUCGUAUCAGAUGACGGCAAUUGUAAGUUCUGGUGGAUCAUCUGCUCCUUUUACUCAAGAACAUGUAUUUCCAUACUCAGACUUAUGCAGCAAUGAGGUUAUUAUCCACCAUGAGCAUUCUGAUCUUGACUAUUCUGAUUCUCUUCAAUUUCCUAGUUUUGUUGAUAUUCAUGAGUCUCCUUCUGCCACUGAGUCUUCUUCUACUAUUGAGUCUCGGUUAGUUCCUGAGUCUCAUAGUGAGUCUUCAAUUCCUCUCACAAGAGUCUCUCAAAGAAUAAAGAAAUCACCUACUUAUUUACAAGAUUAUCAUUGCAAUUUAACAUCUUCAAACUUCAAUAGGUCCCAAUCUCCUACUGUCCUUUAUCCUUUAUCUUCUGUCAUUUCAUAUGAUUCUUUGUCACCAUCACACUUGCACUUUACUCUAAGCAUUUCUACUAGUACUGAACCCAAAAAUUAUACAGAAGCUGUUAAAUCUGAGGAGUGGAGAAAAGCUAUGGCUACUGAGAUUUCUGCCUUGCAGCAAAAUCAAACAUGGUUGUUGGUAGAUUUGCCUAUAAAUAAGAGUCCCAUUGGCUGUAAAUGGGUGUACAAAAUUAAACAAAAGGCCGAUGGCAGCAUUGAGAGGUACAAGGCUAGAUUAGUAG
This 1814-nucleotide long non-coding RNA is filed under the name Manihot esculenta (cassava). Its description in RNAcentral is "long non-coding RNA (MESC_LNC009892)". The record is from RNAcentral. Lineage: Eukaryota; Viridiplantae; Streptophyta; Magnoliopsida; Malpighiales; Euphorbiaceae.